RNAcentral lists this transfer RNA (75 nucleotides) under Candidatus Doudnaibacteriota bacterium. RNAcentral describes it as "Candidatus Doudnabacteria bacterium tRNA-Asn". It matches the Rfam family "tRNA". Rfam says of the family: Transfer RNA (tRNA) molecules are approximately 80 nucleotides in length. Their secondary structure includes four short double-helical elements and three loops (D, anti-codon, and T loops). Further hydrogen bonds mediate the characteristic L-shaped molecular structure. tRNAs have two regions of fundamental functional importance: the anti-codon, which is responsible for specific mRNA codon recognition, and the 3' end, to which the tRNAs corresponding amino acid is attached (by aminoacyl-tRNA synthetases). tRNAs cope with the degeneracy of the genetic code in two manners: having more than one tRNA (with a specific anti-codon) for a particular amino acid; and 'wobble' base-pairing, i.e. permitting non-standard base-pairing at the 3rd anti-codon position. Lineage: Bacteria; Candidatus Doudnaibacteriota. The record is from RNAcentral.
UCCGGGGUAGCUCAGUGGUAGAGCAACUGGCUGUUAACCAGUAGGUCAUGGGUUCGAGCCCCAUCCCCGGAGCCA